AACGAACGCUGGCGGCAUGCCUAACACAUGCAAGUCGAACGAGACCUUCGGGUCUAGUGGCGCACGGGUGCGUAACGCGUGGGAACCUGCCCUUAGGUUCGGAAUAACUCCCCGAAAGGGGUGCUAAUACCGGAUAAUGUCUUCGGACCAAAGAUUUAUCGCCUUUGGAUGGGCCCGCGUUGGAUUAGCUAGUUGGUAGGGUAAAAGCCUACCAAGGCGACGAUCCAUAGCUGGUCUGAGAGGAUGAUCAGCCACACUGGGACUGAGACACGGCCCAGACUCCUACGGGAGGCAGCAGUGGGGAAUAUUGGACAAUGGGCGAAAGCCUGAGCCAGCAAUGCCGCGUGAGUGAUGAAGGCAUUAGGGUUGUAAAGCGCUUUUACCCGGGAUGAUAAUGACAGUACCGGGAGAAUAAGCUCCGGCUAACUCCGUG
Molecule: ribosomal RNA, 433 nt
Filed under: uncultured bacterium
Lineage: Bacteria
Description: partial 16S ribosomal RNA
Rfam family: Bacterial small subunit ribosomal RNA
Source: RNAcentral